Molecule: long non-coding RNA, 964 nt
Organism: Apodemus sylvaticus (European woodmouse)
Lineage: Eukaryota; Metazoa; Chordata; Mammalia; Rodentia; Muridae
Exons: 3
Source: RefSeq, a predicted model, not a curated record
ACAGUCAGACCAAGAGGGAGAGAACAUCCACUGCAGAGCUAAUGUCAUCCCGGAUGUGGCUGGAAUAUUACUUCAAAGUCUGUUUAUAUAAGUGAUCUUUUGAAAGUUUCAGUGAUAGCUUUCCUAUCUUUGGAGGAAGAUCUGCCACGGUGGCGUACGCCAAAGCAAGCCUUGCUUCUGUCAGGGAACAAGAGGCACGCCUCCAGCACGACCGGCAAUAUUCACGUUCUGAGAAUCAGAGCGCACUCAUGUGAGGGGAGUCAGUUACGCUUCAGAGAUGAGUCACGUAGGGUGGCACAGAUGGUGUGGAACGGCGUCUCAAAGAUGUGAAAAAUAUGGAUGGAACCCACACCACAAAUUAGCAUAGCAAGAUGGGUUGGAGUAGUGAGGCCACUGGACUAAUCACUCAUCCUCUAAGCUGUGGCUAAGUCACCAGAGGCGUCCUGGAGAAGAUCAGAGGAGAGGAUGGUCUGGACUCGGAGGGUCUUGAACAUUGGAGGCUCCCGACCUUCAUGGGAAAGUGUGCAGAAUUUCUUAAGACCCAGCUUGGAAGGGAGAGCUGCCUGAUAAGACUUCUCCAGAGUCAGCUCAGCAAAGCGCCCAGCCGCUUGUGAAGAACCGUUACACAGUCCGAUCACUCAGCUCCAUGUUUUCCUCUGCCAGCGUGUGUGGAUCGAUACGGCCAAUCCCCAUGAUUUAUGGGUCCUCACUUUCUCUAGCUGCUCCAUUCACUCUUUGGAAGGCUCUCCCUCUCUUAGCAGUGAAUCAUGGUUUUCCAUACCAUCCAUCCGCCCCUGAGCACGCAACUCUCCCACUGCUCUCUAAGGAAAUCGCCUGGCACUUACCCCGUCUCCAACCUCUCCAUCACUCUCCACUUUCUUAAGGGCUCUGCUCAUGAACCUGUGUUUGGCUUGCAAAGUUAAACAUUUUUGAAUAAACACCUGUUCUUCAGUCUAAGGGGGUU